GGAGGCGUCUGGACGCCUGGUGGGUCCCCCGGUCUUCAAAACCGGUGAGGGGUCGAUUCGGCCCCUGGCGGGUUCGAUUCCCGUUCGCCUCCGCCA
This 96-nucleotide transfer RNA is filed under the name Acidobacteriota bacterium. RNAcentral's name for it is "Acidobacteria bacterium tRNA-Sec". It matches the Rfam family "Selenocysteine transfer RNA". The record is from RNAcentral. RNAcentral also lists the same sequence under 2 other names. Lineage: Bacteria; Pseudomonadati; Acidobacteriota.